UGAGCUCAGGCAAGGUUACCCGCUGAACUUAAGCAUAUCAAUAAGCGGAGGAAAUC
Molecule: ribosomal RNA, 56 nt
Filed under: Oedogonium undulatum
Lineage: Eukaryota; Viridiplantae; Chlorophyta; Chlorophyceae; Oedogoniales; Oedogoniaceae
Also listed under: 1 other name
Description: partial 28S ribosomal RNA
Source: RNAcentral